This 523-nucleotide ribosomal RNA is filed under the name uncultured bacterium. RNAcentral's name for it is "bacterial SSU rRNA". It matches the Rfam family "Bacterial small subunit ribosomal RNA", at positions 774 to 1297 of the family's 1533-position model. The record is from RNAcentral.
ACGUAAUAGAUACCCUGGUAGUCCACGCCCUAAACGAUGUCUACUAGUUGUUGGUGGAGUAAAAUCCAUGAGUAAACGCAGCUAACGCGUGAAGUAGACCGCCUGGGGAGUACGGUCGCAAGAUUAAAACUCAAAUGAAUUGACGGGGGCCCGCACAAGCGGUGGAUUAUGUGGAUUAAUUCGAUGCAACGCGAAAACCUUACCUGGCCUUGACAUGUAACGAACUUUCCAGAGAUGGAUUGGUGCUCGAAAGAGAACGUUAACACAGGUGCUGCAUGGCUGUCGUCAGCUCGUGUCGUGAGAUGUUGGGUUAAGUCCCGCAACGAGCGCAACCCUUGCCAUUAAUUGCCAUCAUUUAGUUGGGCACUUUAAUGGGACUGCCGGUGACAACCGGAGGAAGUGGGGAUGACGUCAAGUCCUCAUGGCCCUUAUGGCCAGGGCUUCACACGUAAUACAAUGGUCGGUACAGAGGGUUGCCAACCCGCGAGGGGAGCCAAUCCCAGAAAGCCGAUCGUAGUCCGGA